CUACGGGGCGCACCAGUGAGGAAUAUUGCACAAUGGGGGGAACCCUGAUGCAGCAACGCCGCGUGGAGGAUGACGCAUUUCGGUGUGUAAACUCCUUUUAUAUGUCAAGAAAAUGACGGUAGCAUAUGAAUAAGCACCGGCUAACUCCGUGCCAGCAGCCGCGGUAAUACGGAGGGUGCAAGCGUUACUCGGAAUCACUGGGCGUAAAGCGUUCGUAGGUGGUUUGGAAAGUUUAUAGUUAAAUCUGGUUGCUCAACGAUCAAAUCGCUGUAAAAACUUCCAAACUUGAGGAUGGCAGGGGCAACUGGAAUUCCACAUGUAGGGGUAACAUCCGUUGAUAUGUGGAGGAACACCAAAAGCGAAGGCAGGUUGCUGGGCCAUUCCUGACACUGAGGAACGAAAGCGUGGGGAGCAAACAGGAUUAGAUACCCUAGUAGUC
RNAcentral lists this ribosomal RNA (439 nucleotides) under uncultured bacterium. RNAcentral's name for it is "partial 16S ribosomal RNA". It matches the Rfam family "Bacterial small subunit ribosomal RNA", at positions 339 to 795 of the family's 1533-position model. The record is from RNAcentral.